AUAGCCUUUCGAAAGAAAGAUUAAUACCCGAUGGCAUAAUGAUUCCGCAUGGUUUCAUUAUUAAAGGAUUCCGGUAAAGGAUGGGGAUGCGUUCCAUUAGGUUGUUGGUGAGGUAACGGCUCACCAAGCCUUCGAUGGAUAGGGGUUCUGAGAGGAAGGGUCCCCCACAUUGGAACUGAGACACGGUCCAAACUCCUACGGGAGGCAGCAUG
RNAcentral lists this ribosomal RNA (212 nucleotides) under uncultured bacterium. Its description in RNAcentral is "partial 16S ribosomal RNA". It matches the Rfam family "Bacterial small subunit ribosomal RNA", at positions 143 to 353 of the family's 1533-position model. The record is from RNAcentral.